UAGAUAAAUACAAUAAUAAUUGACUUUUAAGAUAAAUCUAUUUUGAAUUAAAAAAAAUAAUAGGAUAGAUAAAUAUUUUUAUAUGAUUAAUUAAAUAUGAAUUUGAGCUUCUUUAGUUUUUCUUUUAUUAUUUAUUACCCUUCAUAAUAUUUUAAAUAUUUUUUUAUUUUUUUAAUAUUUUUAUUUGUUUGUUAAGUUUGUAAACUGUAAAUUUUUACUAAAAUAUUUCUACCUGUCGCAUCGCGCAGGUUCCUACGCUAGUAUUACAUUACAUUACAAUAUCUUCUAUUACAUUACAUUACAAUAUUAC
RNAcentral lists this long non-coding RNA (310 nucleotides) under Ananas comosus (pineapple). RNAcentral describes it as "long non-coding RNA (ACOM_LNC041083)". The record is from RNAcentral. Lineage: Eukaryota; Viridiplantae; Streptophyta; Magnoliopsida; Poales; Bromeliaceae.